CCUACGGGAGACAGCAGUGGGGAAUAUUGGGCAAUGGGCGCAAGCCUGACCCAGCAACGCCGCGUGAAGGAAGAAGGCUUUCGGGUUGUAAACUUCUUUUAAGGGGGAAGAGCAGAAGACGGUACCCCUUGAAUAAGCCACGGCUAACUACGUGCCAGCAGCCGCGGUAAUACGUAGGUGGCAAGCGUUGUCCGGAUUUACUGGGUGUAAAGGGCGUGCAGCCGGAGAGACAAGUCAGAUGUGAAAUCCACGGGCUCAACCCGUGAACUGCAUUUGAAACUGUUUCCCUUGAGUGUCGGAGAGGUAAUCGGAAUUCCUUGUGUAGCGGUGAAAUGCGUAGAUAUAAGGAAGAACACCAGUGGCGAAGGCGGAUUACUGGACUGUAACUGACGUUGAGGCUCGAAAGCGUGGGGAGCAAACAGGAUUAGAUACCCGGGUAGUC
This 442-nucleotide ribosomal RNA is filed under the name uncultured bacterium. Its description in RNAcentral is "partial 16S ribosomal RNA". It matches the Rfam family "Bacterial small subunit ribosomal RNA", at positions 338 to 795 of the family's 1533-position model. The record is from RNAcentral.